RNAcentral lists this ribosomal RNA (868 nucleotides) under uncultured fungus. RNAcentral describes it as "eukaryotic LSU rRNA". It matches the Rfam family "Eukaryotic large subunit ribosomal RNA", at positions 24 to 664 of the family's 3401-position model. Lineage: Eukaryota; Fungi. The record is from RNAcentral.
CCCGCUGAACUUAAGCAUAUCAGUAAGCGGAGGAAAAGAAACUAACCAGGAUUCCCUUAGUAACGGCGAGUGAAGCGGGAAUAGCCCAAUCUGAAAAGCUGGUCAGCCCCGGUGCUGGUCCCGCAUUGUAGGUUGAUGGGGCGUUACCUAGUGUCAAGCCUUUCGAUUAAAGUCCCUUGGAACAGGGCGUCAAAGAGGGUGAAAACCCCGUGGAUAAUCGAAUGACAUACCAGCUUGAUGCGUCUACGGUGCGUCUCCUUAGAGUCGGAAUGUUUGGGAUUGCAUUCCAAAAUGGGUGGUAAACUCCAUCUAAGGCUAAAUACUGGCGAGAGACCGAUAGCGAACAAGUACCGCGAGGGAAAGUUGAAAAGCACUCUGGAGAGAGAGUCAAACAGUACGUGAAAUUGCUAGCAGGGAAACGUUGGGCACCAGUACGCGGCAAUCAAUGUCGAUGAUCAGUCGGGCGGAUGAGAGGUUCAGUGCGCGGUGUUUACUUUGGAGACUAUCCUCGGAUGGCUCACGCGUAAUGAAACUCUCAGCCACCGGUGCACUCUUCGGCAGCCGGGUCAACAUCGGUUAAUGACGUUCGAUAAGCCAUUGAGCAAGGUAGCAUCGGUAGGUUCGCCUACCUUUGAACUUAUAGGCUCAGUGUGCGAGGAUGUCGUUGACCGAGGCGGCAUUCGGUUCGCGCGCUUCGGCGCAGGGCGUAUGGAUGAGGUCGAGGCCGCCCGUAGCAUUAGGCAGCUUGCUGACUAGUGUUUAUUUUGUCGUGUUUACACGGCAGUGGUGGUCGUCUCGUCUAUGCAAGCCACUAGCGAGCCUAUGACGGUUGACGAAAUGGUAUUCAACGACCCGUCUUGAAACACGG